Molecule: ribosomal RNA, 798 nt
Filed under: Escherichia coli
Lineage: Bacteria; Pseudomonadati; Pseudomonadota; Gammaproteobacteria; Enterobacterales; Enterobacteriaceae
Also listed under: 1 other name
Description: partial 23S ribosomal RNA
Rfam family: Bacterial large subunit ribosomal RNA
Source: RNAcentral
GGGACACGUGGUAUCCUGUCUGAAUAUGGGGGGACCAUCCUCCAAGGCUAAAUACUCCUGACUGACCGAUAGUGAACCAGUACCGUGAGGGAAAGGCGAAAAGAACCCCGGCGAGGGGAGUGAAAAAGAACCUGAAACCGUGUACGUACAAGCAGUGGGAGCCUCUUAAUGGGGUGACUGCGUACCUUUUGUAUAAUGGGUCAGCGACUUAUAUUCUGUAGCAAGGUUAACCGAAUAGGGGAGCCGAAGGGAAACCGAGUCUUAACUGGGCGUUAAGUUGCAGGGUAUAGACCCGAAACCCGGUGAUCUAGCCAUGGGCAGGUUGAAGGUUGGGUAACACUAACUGGAGGACCGAACCGACUAAUGUUGAAAAAUUAGCGGAUGACUUGUGGCUGGGGGUGAAAGGCCAAUCAAACCGGGAGAUAGCUGGUUCUCCCCGAAAGCUAUUUAGGUAGCGCCUCGUGAAUUCAUCUCCGGGGGUAGAGCACUGUUUCGGCAAGGGGGUCAUCCCGACUUACCAACCCGAUGCAAACUGCGAAUACCGGAGAAUGUUAUCACGGGAGACACACGGCGGGUGCUAACGUCCGUCGUGAAGAGGGAAACAACCCAGACCGCCAGCUAAGGUCCCAAAGUCAUGGUUAAGUGGGAAACGAUGUGGGAAGGCCCAGACAGCCAGGAUGUUGGCUUAGAAGCAGCCAUCAUUUAAAGAAAGCGUAAUAGCUCACUGGUCGAGUCGGCCUGCGCGGAAGAUGUAACGGGGCUAAACCAUGCACCGAAGCUGCGGCAGCGACGCUUAUG